RNAcentral lists this ribosomal RNA (1442 nucleotides) under Pseudomonas aeruginosa. Its description in RNAcentral is "bacterial SSU rRNA". It matches the Rfam family "Bacterial small subunit ribosomal RNA". Lineage: Bacteria; Pseudomonadati; Pseudomonadota; Gammaproteobacteria; Pseudomonadales; Pseudomonadaceae. The record is from RNAcentral.
CGGGCUUGCGCGGUCUAUAAUGCAGUCGAGCGGAUGAUGCUGCUUGCUCCUGGAUUCAGCGGCGGACGGGUGAGUAAUGCCUACGAAUCUGCCUGGUAGUGGGGGAUAACGUCCGGAAACGGGCGCUGGUACCGCAUAUUACCUGAGGGAGAAAGUGGGGGAUCUUCGGACCUCACGCUAUCAGAUGAGCCUAGGUCGGAUUAGCUAGUUGGUGGGGUAAAGGCCUACCAAGGCGACGAUCCGUAACUGGUCUGAGAGGAUGAUCAGUCACACUGGAACUGAGACACGGUCCAGACUCCUACGGGAGGCAGCAGUGGGGAAUAUUGGACAAUGGGCGAAAGCCUGAUCCAGCCAUGCCGCGUGUGUGAAGAAGGUCUUCGGAUUGUAAAGCACUUUAAGUUGGGAGGAAGGGCAGUAAGUUAAUACCUUGCUGUUUUGACGUUACCAACAGAAUAAGCACCGGCUAACUUCGUGCCAGCAGCCGCGGUAAUACGAAGGGUGCAAGCGUUAAUCGGAAUUACUGGGCGUAAAGCGCGCGUAGGUGGUUCAGCAAGUUGGAUGUGAAAUCCCCGGGCUCAACCUGGGAACUGCAUCCAAAACUACUGAGCUAGAGUACGGUAGAGGGUGAUGGUAAUUUCCUGUGUAGCGAUGAAAUGCGUAGAUGUAGGAAGGAACACCAGUGACGAAUGCGACCACCUGACUGAUACUGACACUGACGUGCGAAAGCGUGAGAAGCAAACAGGAUUAAGAUACGCUGUAGUCCACGCCGUAAACGAUGUCGACUAGCCGUGGAUCCAUGAAGUCUAGUGGCGCAGCUACCCCAUUAUUCGACUGCUGGGAGUACUGACCGCAACGUUCAAAUCAAUGACUGGACGGUGACCCUCAAGGGUGGACAUUGGCUACUCGAGAACGGAGACUUUACUGGCUUGCAUGCAGAACUUCCGAGAGGACUUGGGCCUUCGGGAACUCAGACACAGGUGCUGCAUGGCUGUCGUCAGCUCGUGUCGUGAGAUGUUGGGUUAAGUCCCGUAACGAGCGCAACCCUUGUCCUUAGUUACCAGCACCUCGGGUGGGCACUCUAAGGAGACUGCCGGUGACAAACCGGAGGAAGGUGGGGAUGACGUCAAGUCAUCAUGGCCCUUACGGCCAGGGCUACACACGUGCUACAAUGGUCGGUACAAAGGGUUGCCAAGCCGCGAGGUGGAGCUAAUCCCAUAAAACCGAUCGUAGUCCGGAUCGCAGUCUGCAACUCGACUGCGUGAAGUCGGAAUCGCUAGUAAUCGUGAAUCAGAAUGUCACGGUGAAUACGUUCCCGGCCCUCGUACACACCGCCCGUCACUCCAUGGGAGUGGGUUGCCCAGAAGUAGCUAGUCUAAACUCAAGGAAGACGGCUACCACGGAGUGAUCAUGACUCGGCGAAGUCGUAGAAUUUGGCCUGGCUC